This 968-nucleotide ribosomal RNA is filed under the name Nitrospinaceae bacterium. RNAcentral's name for it is "bacterial SSU rRNA". It matches the Rfam family "Bacterial small subunit ribosomal RNA", at positions 1 to 978 of the family's 1533-position model. The record is from RNAcentral. Lineage: Bacteria; Pseudomonadati; Nitrospinota; Nitrospinia; Nitrospinales; Nitrospinaceae.
UAACUGGAGAGUUUGAUCCUGGCUCAGAACGAACGCUGGCGGUGUGCUUAACACAUGCAAGUCGAACGAGAAAGUUUCCUUCGGGGAACUAGUAAAGUGGCGCAAGGGUGAGUAACACGUGAAUAAUCUGCCCUCGAGACUGGGAUAACCUGGGGAAACUUAGGCUAAUACCGGAUAAGAGCACGUCUCAUAUGGGAUGUGGGAAAAGGAGUCUCAAUCUUCACUCGAGGAUGAGUUCGCGGACCAUUAGCUUGUUGGUGAGAUAAAAGCUCACCAAGGCAACGAUGGUUAGCCGACCUGAGAGGGUGAUCGGCCACACUGGAACUGAGACACGGUCCAGACUCCUACGGGAGGCAGCAGUGGGGAAUAUUGCGCAAUGGGCGAAAGCCUGACGCAGCAACACCGUGUGAGCGAUGAAGGCCUUAGGGUUGUAAAGCUCUGUCAAAUGGGAAGAAUUAUGACGGUACCAUUAGAGGAAGCCCCGGCUAACUCCGUGCCAGCAGCCGCGGUAAUACGGAGGGGGCAAGCGUUGUUCGGAAUUAUUGGGCGUAAAGCGUAUGUAGGCGGCCGAGUAAGUCAGACGUGUAAGCCCGUGGCUCAACCACGGAAUUGCGUUUGAAACUACCCGGCUUGAGUACAGGAGAGGAAAGCGGAAUUCCCAGUGUAGCGGUGAAAUGCAUUGAUAUUGGGAAGAACAUCUGUGGCGAAGGCGGCUUUCUGGUCUGUUACUGACGCUGAGAUACGAAAGCCAGGGGAGCGAACGGGAUUAGAUACCCCGGUAGUCCUGGCUGUAAACGAUGGGCACUAGGUGCAGGAGGUAUCGAUCCCCUCUGUGCCGUAGCUAACGCAUUAAGUGCCCCGCCUGGGGAGUACGGUCGCAAGGCUGAAACUCAAAGGAAUUGACGGGGGCCCGCACAAGCGGUGGAGCAUGUGGUUUAAUUCGACGCAACGCGAAGAACCUUACCUGG